Molecule: long non-coding RNA, 911 nt
Organism: Papaver somniferum (opium poppy)
Lineage: Eukaryota; Viridiplantae; Streptophyta; Magnoliopsida; Ranunculales; Papaveraceae
Exons: 7
Source: RefSeq, a predicted model, not a curated record
CAUGGAAUCCUGAUAAAUUGGUUUAUUGAAGUAUGAUAUUAACUCAUUCUUAAUUGCCUUUUCCCCUUUUUAAAAUCUAUAAUUCUGAAUCCUCAACUGUAAUUCACUUGGUUGCAGGUUAACUGCAAACUUGAUUUGAUGCCAGAAAUUUUGUUUCUUAUGGUCAUAUUAUUUGACAGAUUUCUUUUUGUUUUUGCAAUAAAAAAGAACCGACAUGCAGUUGGUUAGUCUUACCGUCCUCUUAUUGGCAUCAAAAUAUGAGGAUUUUUUGGCAUCCAAAGGUUAAGGAGUUAGUUAGCCUCGAUAUUGACUCAUAUACAUUGGAGAUCAAAUGCUUCAAUGGAAAAGCUCAUACUUAAAAGGUUGUUGUUUCGUCUAAAUGCACCAACUCCUAACGUUUUCAUCACUAGUUUCUCAAGGCUUGUCAAUGGGAUGCUAAGGUUAGUAAGUGAUAUUAGCUUGUUGGUGGGGAAUUGACGUCAAUCGAAAAGCUUUUGUAUCCAAUUCAUGAUUUAGUGGAAGUCGUCGACCAUGACCUGGUUCAGUGAUGCAGGCUAGCACGCUAAGUAAUGAUGUGUGUAUCUGCAACUAAGGGCUGAGAAUACUGGAGAUCUGGGAGCAAUUGACGUGAUAGUUGGAGAGACUGGUUCGAAGGUAUCAAGGAUCUCUUAACUAUAUCUGCAACAUUUUAGAUGUAAAGUGUGAUUGGCAAUUUAGCUGGAGUUGGUGUAGAAAUGAUUGAAGAUGAAGUGGAGUAACAGGUUAUUUUCAAAACUUACCUCUGCAAAGCUGGAUGUUAUCCAACUGGAAAUUGGCGUGGUUGGUAUUUUUCUCAGUAUAUGCGGAUUAGGGUGCAGUUUGACUAUCAUGGAUUCUAGAUUCUUUGGAUCUUUGGAGCGGCGUACAUAAUU